CUAUUUAUGUUACUCACAAUCAAUAAGUUACAAUACUGCAGCUCUUAAUUGCAAAUAUAUUUUUAAAUUCUACUUAGUGUAAUUUGCAAUUAAAUUAAAUUCAUCAUUUAUCUUUCUUAUUCAAGUUGUUUUUUAACGUGAAUUAAUAACUUUUUCCUCGUUAUUUUAUGGUGAUUUACGUGAAAUUGAGUGCACUUGUUACCCACUGGAUGGACGUGUUGUGAUGUCCCAUGAAAAGAGUGCCAACCGUGAUGGAACCACCAACAGAAUGACGAACCGCGACCAACAGAAACAACAAUGCAAAGAUAUAUAGUAAAUGUAUGUUUUGUUGAUGUAAUUUAUGAUUGAAUAAUGUAAUAAAUAUUUUACUCAUUACUCACUUUAAUUGCCACAUCCAGUUUUCUUUCACAGUUGUGCUUUUAAUUAUUUGAGAUUGGCCACACCCUUUUAUGUACCUAUGCAAUAUUUUUAAAAUAAAUAUGAAUUUUAGCAUUUAAUAUUAUUGUGCAUGUAUAAGUCCUAUCCUUAGGUUUAGUAUUCUAUUGAAACUGAAAUUUAGCAUUACCGGUUAUUAUUUAUGCAGGAGGGGGAGAGGAACUUUUUCUUUCCUGAAUUUUUAAAAUUGAAGCCCCUACCAAAAAAGCAGAAAUUAAAUAAUGACAUCCCUCCUCCAUUUCACAUCAGCCAUGGCCAUGACAAUAGGUAAUAAGAUUAUAAACCUCAUUAAGCUUCAUUAUCUAUUGUUUGGAUUGCAUUCGACGCGACCGAAAUUCGACGUAUAAUUAAAACAGGAAUUAGUCGCAACAUUUCAACCAAAUGGAGACCAGGCUAAGCAAUUUCCUUCAAAUUUAUUUACAACCCAACAUUUUUACCUCCCUCCCCCAUUUCUUGAAUAAUUUAUUAAAUUUAAUAAUAUAUUUAUUUAUGCCACUCUUAUUUUUGCAAUCCCCACAACAUUAUAAUGACCGGUCCCGUAAAGCUCUGUAUCGUAACGUUGUUAAUCAAAGCUAUAUGUAAUCGUUAAUAAUUCACGAGAAAAGCAUGACCGUGAGGAAGCCUUAUAUCUGCUAAAUUAAUAAACAACUAUUGAAUGAGGUCGAGUAGGAUAUGAGGAAUUUGAUUAAGGCCGAAGUGUGUCGACCUCAACUCGACCUCAUUCAAUAGUCUUAUUAUUUAUUUGUCGGAAUACACAAAAAAGGUCGGCGAACUUUCCCUUUGAGGAAGCCAUUUGUAUUUUCCCGCUUUUGGCAUAAGCCGCAUAAAUUAGCGUGACGUCAUAGCGUGUUAUAUUGUUUUUCAAUAAACCACGAAAUUACGUCAGACGUGAUAUAUUUGUUUUCAAUAUUCCACGGUGAUAUCAUAACUCCAAAUUUGGGCAACCACCGAGCGGGCAUGACGAUUUCACCGACAGCUCUUAGCCAAUCAAAACUCCUGAAUUAUUUUCAAUAAAUAAUAAUCAUGUUUAUUUAAAUAUAAUCCUGCUAAAUAUAAUUCAUAAUUUUAAGAUGAUUUAUAUAUAAAGUAUUCGCAUACAAUACGACUGUUUCUCUUAUUUUGUAGUUAAGUAAUAAAUAAUUCAUUGCAAUUAUGAUCUAAUAGACAGUUUUUUAAUUUCAAUAGGUCCAUGUGAUGUGAUAAGAAAAGUCAACGAUCCAAGCUAGUGGAGGUCAGGAAGGAAGACCAGAAUGAAAGACUUAUGGAUGAUAUGAACCCAAGAAAAGAAUGACAAUUCGCAACAAUCAAAACCCACAAAUUGCUAAUGUGAAAGUAUAGUGAAAAUUUUGCAAAUGUAAGUUAAAAGGC
This is a non-coding RNA of Paramuricea clavata, 1803 nucleotides long. NCBI's taxonomy places the organism in Eukaryota, Metazoa, Cnidaria, Anthozoa, Malacalcyonacea, Plexauridae. The record is from the annotation of a GenBank genome assembly.